AGCAAGUAUGCCAUGACAACGCUUUGGCGGUGAAGGCGUUCAAUAAAGUUUCCCAUACGACACAAUUACGUGUAUUUGUUUGAAAAAUUAUGGUUGUGAGUCUUUAGGAUAACUUAUUAUUUUACAUUUCAUCAAACCUGCUAAGAAUCAGCACUGGUGGAUUAUGGUAUUAAUACAAGAGUAUUGAUGUAAUAUCAUAAUCAUUAUUUUUAUUAAAAUAUACUUUUUGUGUGUUUUUUCCAGCUACUUGAACAUCGAGAUCUAUAAACUUCAUAUACAAUAUAUUUAUAUAGGUGCAUAGUUACAUAAACCAUGUGUGUAAAUUCACUGCGUACUGUUAUUUUAUUAUACUGGUACCAAUAUUGCAUAGUAAACGUGUAUUGUAGCUAUUAUCACCUCAUUAUAGGUUUAAUAUUAAGGGUUCUUCACAAACAAAUCAUUAUUUUGUAUUUAAUUCCCAUAUAAAAUAAUAGUACUAGGUGCUAAUUUUUAAUACUAACAAUUAUUUUUUAUUUUUUCAUUUACAGAUACAUACAUACAUUUUGAUCCUAAUUAACAUUCAUCGAUGAGUGACGGCGACAGCAAUAGCAUAAGUGUAGUGACAUCGAGGAUAGUUUAGAACGCUGUGAGGGUGGCAGUGAUGGACCCGGCGGCGCGAAGGUCCUGUGGUUGGUGAUUGAUUUCGUUUGGCCACAGCCCUCGCAUCACCGUCGGUAGUACCUAUACGAUAUAGUGUAGGUUUCUAAACAUCGCUGUCGCGCGAACGGCAUUGGCGAAGACAAUGGUUUGACGCGUCUAAGGUCAGUGGCGAUUCAUUUCGUCACUCGCGCCUUUGCCCAUGGCGCGUCUACUAGCGUCCGUAUGUGCAUUGGUGGUUGAAUAUCUACCGUCCCCUUGACUGGCCCGUGCUGGUCAUGGACGACGGUAGACUUACGUGGCCGAAGAAACUGUUGAAGUCGAAUUUCGACCGCUUUAGCUUUAUUGCCCGUAAGCGGCAUCACGUUAACGAGCUGUCGAAUGACCGUGGAACUCUGACCGAUAUCGGCUUUAUGGCUGGUAUUGCGACGGCUGCGCGCCGGUGGCAGAUAACCGCGUACCUUUGCACUGUUGGCGGCAGCCUAGACGUCCAAUGUCGGUUGUAAAACUGUCGUCACCACGGUUAGCGUUUCGCUGAUUGAGGAUGACGCCGGUCCAGUGUUUCAAAAGCCCAAGGUGAAGAUGAAUUUCAUCCACUUGAGCCUAUGAUAAUGCACUGGCGCCGUCGGACGUCGUUCAAAUAGGUUGUUGUAAAAACCGUUGUUGUAGUUGGAGCAAAGCUAGCUGUAUGCUGGUGGAGUGAUGACCAAUGAUGGACCAAUUGCGUAGAGGGCCGCAAACCUUCGGCCAUCGGGGGGCUCGAACGUAGCUAUGCACGCGUCAAUCAAUAGCGCUGCACUCCGACUAGGUGGUUCACCAGCGGUUGUGGGCGCUGAGCCAGGGGUAGAACUUAAUUGAGUUGAGAAAUUUACUCCCCCCCCCCAAUAGAGAAGAUGGAUAUCGUCUUCUCGCUCAUCGCGACAUAUUCGUAUCGGUUUCCCUGGUAGUGAGGCGGAAUAAUUUAACAACCGAGCACACAUAAAACCGUAUAUAAAUAAACACUUUUCACAAGCAUUUCGACAAAUUAUUUAAGAAUCAAAGUAUUUUACUUGGUAUUGAGAAUAGGAUAUCCCUCUUCCUAAUACUCUCUAAAAUACAAAAAGUUAGCAUGUAACUUGGCCGAAAAAAUAAACAAAUAUAAUUACAUCGGGUUCUAAAAAUGAUAGUGUGUAUUUUACCGUUCAGUUCUCGAGGUUCUAGAACAAUACAAAACGUUCAAACGGUUCGCGAUUAUUUUAUUAUAAAAUCCCAGAAGCAAUUUCCACACUACUUUUAUCAAGAACAUGUGCAGAACACACCUGCAUUUUUUGGAUUUCACAUAGGAUAUGCCUAUUGCUGUCUUUUAUUUUUCAAAUAUUCAAUCCAUAAUACAAUAAAUUAAGUGAGUACUUUUAUGGUUUCAAAUACUUAGUACUAAGUUAGACUGUCUAAAAAAUGAAAUAGAUUUUUAGAUACUUAUUAUAUAUUUAUAAUAAAUAUAUAAUAUUAACUUAAUAGGUUUUUAAUAGCUAUCAAUACACGAACAUUAAUUUUAUACUUAGCAACUUUUAUUCUGUAACAGUGUUAAUGAACCUAGGGACCUAUAUAGUUAUAUUGUAUAUGGAAUUUGGUAGUAUUUUUAAGUUAAAGCUAAAAUUACUAAGAUAGGUAAUAAUUUUGAUAAAUAUGUAUGCGAAUCAUGAUUAAUUUUGAGAGAACCUUUGAGGUGACAACUGACAUCAUCGUUAAAAUAUAUUUUGCUUCAAUUUAUCAGGAUAAAUACAAAUAUAGGUGCGGGAAAAAAAUGUAUAUGAUACAAUGAGGUAGAAAAUAUUAUAUUGGUUGAAAUUGAAUUAUGGCCAUCAUUUAAACCUAAAUACAUAUAGAUUUAUCUAUAUUAUAUCAAUAUAAUCGCCCUGGUGAUUGGCGUUAAACUCACCACUCACUCAAACACAUCUGUUAAGUUUAAUACAAAUUUGUCAGACUUCCGAAUGAGGAGAGAGAGUGAAUACAUAAGACGGUGACUGUCGAAUAUGAUUUAUAGCGCUUUAAUAGAGGAUAAUAUGUAUAAUGUAUUGAAUGGGUAAUGUGGAUGUAUUAUUAGAAUAUAAUAAUUGUUUUGUGGAAAUAUCACCAUAACCUUCAGUCAUUACAAAUCGACAACAACAUCGACGGCUUGAACAUCGACUAAUCAGUUUCUAUCGACAUCAAACACUACAACCACCUGCGCCUAUUUACUUCAGUAACCUUUUCAUAGUGGUGAUGGCACAGAUAUCCAUAAAUGGCAUAGAAAGAGUCUGUUUGGUUUUGGAGAAGUCGUGCAGCCAAUGUACACCAAGACUUUUGGAGGAAGAUCCAUCGUCAUCGAAUUAAAGAUUCAACAGUUACAGUAUUAGAACAACUACAACUCAAGUUGGACCAACUACAAACAACAUUCAACCACUACAAUUAUAUAUAGAUCAUUAACAAAAACAACGUUGACUCGGGUGAGGCGUCAAGAGUCACAGUUUUCGCCCUGGUGAUGGCGUUAAACUCACCAUAUACUCGCCGUCCACAAAAAUACAUUUAACAACUGCAGCUGAAGACAAAUGUUGUCCAGCAUCUAGACUGGAAAAGACCAAGUGAAGAAAUAUGGGCGGCGAGUAUCCCGGAGACGGGAAAGUGGAUUGAUAUUGGAUAUGUAAGGUAUAUGAAUAUAAUAUGUUUACUUAAUAAGUCUACUUGAAUGAUCGACCUUUCAACUAUCUAUGUAUCCAAUAUCAACCAUUAAUUAGAAUUAUUUAUAAAAUUAGAAUUUAAUAAGGAACAUUAAGUCAUGAUGGAUUUUGCUAAAAGAAAGCAAAAAUUCGUCCAGACUAAAACUCAAAAAAUGAUGUCUCUAUUUUCGAGACAUUAAACCUAGGAUGCCUACCUCAAACAUGAUAUUUCUUUUACUAAACCGUGGUUGAUAACAAAUGUUGUACAGCUGCUGGUGCAAGAAAAAUAAUUGAAAUAUCAUGGACAUCGUAUAAUUAGUGUAUUAGUUAAGCCAUGUAAUAGAUGGGAAUUAAAUAAGAAUUGUGUCAAAUUGAGCACUCAAAAAAUCAAGCUCUUUGCAAUUCCGUGCGGAUAAUUGAAUGCGGAGAAAAUUAAGAGCAACAUUUAUUAUUACAUAUAAGAAUAAGUUAUAAGAUUACUUAUGCAUUUAUGUAUAAUAUAUUAUAUGGAGUGAUAAAUUUAAAGUGAAACACUAAUGAUUUUGAAAAUAUUUUUUUUACAUUGUUGUAACUUUUAAGACGUAACAAAACAGCAUUUUAAGGGGAUUCGAUACGUGUCGUUUUUAAGGAGUUCAAUAUAGGCAAUUUUCUGUGUGCGUGUGUAUAAAAUAUAUAGCGGAGCGCUCCCGCACGUGAACAAACAUGUCAACAACGCAUGAAAAAAUUGUUUUGUAUUUUUUUGGUCAAAAGUAUCAAUCUUUUGCCAAUCAUAUUAAAUAGCCUACUAUCCGAUAACAUUUUUGAAAACCUAUUUAAAUUUGUCAUGCAAUUUACUUGAAAACGACUUCCUUACAUUUUUUAUUAAUUUUUCAAUUUCAGUAUUAUUAAAAUUUAAAAAUUUCUAAUAUUCAAAAUUUGAAAAUCUAAUGUUGUAGGGUUAAGGAGAUUAAUUAAAAAAUGUGGCAAUCGUUUUCUAGAGAACUUCAUGACAAAUUCAAAUAUGUUUUCAAAAGUUUCAUUCGAGUAGUAGAAUAAACGGUCAGUUGGAAAAAGAUAGAUUUAUUUUGGAAGAAAACAGAGAUGGGAUCGAAUCCCCUUAAGAUGAUGUCACAACCGCAAGUGUUGUCACUUGUCACCGUCUAACAAUUGUACUACAUAGCAAAAACUAUUUUGCACGGGACAAUUUUACUCCCUCUGUAUUUAUAGUAGAAUUACCAAAAUACCACAACGCAUAGGGAAGAACUCUAUCUGUGUCGUAGUGUUUUCAUUUUUUUGGUAGCACUAACCAAUAAUUUUUAAUAAUUAAAUGAAACAAAAAAACCUAAUGAUCUCAUACUGAUAACUUUAAAUGUAUAAAUGUUAUCUAAAUAAUAAAAACACAACGACACAAAUAAAGUUCUUCCCUGGGUAUGUGGAAUUUCGGUAAUUCUACUAUAUAAAUACAGAGUAAGUAAAAUAUUGUGCCAUGCAAAACAGUUUUUCCUAUGUGGUAGGUACAUUUGUAAGACAGAGAUAACACAUACGGGUGUGACGUGCUCUUAAAAAAAAUUAAUUGUUUAGUAUUUUUAUUGUUAUUAUUUUUGAAAUUUCUUACACUUUUUAGAAAAAACGUACCUACAUUUUUGAAUUUAUAUUCCCAAGCAGAAGAUUAUUUUGAAUUAUAAUUUCGGUCUAUAAGAAUCUAAUUUUGGACAAGUACUUUAUUACCUAUAUUUUUUAAGUACCUAUUCAAAGUUUAUCUCCACAGAAUCUGUGGUUAGCUAACUCACUAACAUUGCUAUAAGAGCGGCAACUGUCCACUCGAAGAGUAUAAUAUGUGUGUUAGUUACCCAGAGCGUUAGGAGGAUCUUAAAUGGCCGGUGAUAUAUGAGGUACUCAGGAAAAUAUCGUACACCAAGUUUACCACCCUAUUACUCCUACCAAAUAGCUCAGGGUGUCAUCUUGGUCUUCGGUCUGUCUUCGGAAGACACGUGGCCAAGAAGACUUCCACUCUGAUAUUUCUUUGGAAAAGUUGACAUCAAACAUCAAAGGUCCCUGUAAUAAUGUUGGUCCACUACACCGCUCAUCUAAACUUUAAAUAAUUAAAAAAUGUAUGAAAUAAACUACCAAUUCAAAAUAUGAUUUUUAUAGAUGGAAAUACUCCAAAUAAUAUUCUGCUUAGGAAUAUGAAAUUAAAAAUGGUAUACGUUGUUUCUUAAAAAAAUAAAAAUUUUAAAACUAUAACAAUAAAAAUAGUAAAUACAUAACUUUUUUCUUAAAAUGUUGUUUUGUAACGACUUAAGACAAUGUAUAAGAAAUAUUUUCAAAAUCGUUAGUGUUUCACAUUAAAUUGAUCAACAUGUAUUUAUAAAUAUAUUAUAUAUAAACACACACAUGACUGUCUUUUUUGUACGCAAAUAAACAAUAAUACAAUUUUAACUUUGUAAUUUCUAAGAAUUAAAAAAAGUUAUGUGAGUUAUAAUUCUGGUUUAUCCAUUGUACAUUUUUUAUUUAAUAUUUAUUGUUUUGACAUCAUUAACACAUACAAAAUUACUAUUGUUUUAAAAUCCAUAAUUUUUUAUGUUUUUCAAACUUAAUUUGAUUAAAAAAACUUUUAUUUAUGAUGUAUAAAAUUAAUUUCAUAACUAUAUGAGUGUAACCUUGAGUGAUGGUCUAUCACGCAUAACCUCUUAAUUAUACAACAAUUUAACAUAAGUAAUUUAAGCUAUUGAUAUUUAAGCUAAUGAUAUUCUAUAAAUUACAUUUUGCAUUAUUAUUCGUUUAAUGGUAUUCUAAAAAUUACAUUUUGCAUUAUGUUUUGUUUAAUGAUAUAUUUAUUUAUAAUAAUAUAUUUUUUUUGCGGUA
Metopolophium dirhodum (rose-grain aphid) is the source of this 6155-nucleotide long non-coding RNA. RefSeq lists it as uncharacterized. The record is from RefSeq and is a predicted model, not a curated record. Lineage: Eukaryota; Metazoa; Arthropoda; Insecta; Hemiptera; Aphididae. The transcript is spliced from 3 exons.